UACGGAGGAUGCAAGCGUUAUCCGGAAUGAUUGGGCGUAAAGCGUCCGCAGGUGGCUGUGUAAGUCUGCUGUCAAAGAGCAAAGCUCAACUUUGCAAAGGCAGUGGAAACUACACGGCUAGAGUGCGUUCGGGGCAGAGGGAAUUCCUGGUGUAGCGGUGAAAUGCGUAGAGAUCAGGAAGAACACCGGUGGCGAAGGCGCUCUGCUAGGCCGCAACUGACACUGAGGGACGAAAGCUAGGGGAGCGAAUGGG
This 253-nucleotide ribosomal RNA is filed under the name uncultured bacterium. RNAcentral describes it as "partial 16S ribosomal RNA". It matches the Rfam family "Bacterial small subunit ribosomal RNA", at positions 524 to 776 of the family's 1533-position model. The record is from RNAcentral.